CGGAGGGUGCAAGCGUUAUCCGGAAUCAUUGGGUUUAAAGGGUCCGCAGGCGGACUUAUAAGUCAGUAGGUGAAAGCCUACAGCUUAACUGUAGAACUGCCAUUGAUACUGUAAGUCUUGAAUUCGGUCGAAGUGGGCGGAAUAUGACAUGUAGCGGUGAAAUGCUUAGAUAUGUCAUAGAACACCGAUAGCGAAGGCAGCUCACUAGGCCUGGAUUGACGCUCAUGGACGAAAGCGUGGGGAGCAAACAGGAUUAGAUACCCUGGUAGUCCACGCCGUAAACUAUCAAUACUCGUUCUCGGCGAUAUACAGUCGGGGACUAAGCGAAAGUGAUAAGUAUUGCACCUGGGGAGUACGAUCGCAAGGUUG
This 369-nucleotide ribosomal RNA is filed under the name uncultured organism. Its description in RNAcentral is "bacterial SSU rRNA". It matches the Rfam family "Bacterial small subunit ribosomal RNA", at positions 526 to 896 of the family's 1533-position model. The record is from RNAcentral.